ACAGGGAUUGCCUUAGUAACGGCGAGUGAAGCGGCAACAGCUCAAAUUUGAAAUCUGGCUCUUUCAGAGUCCGAGUUGUAAUUUGCAGAGGGCGCUUUGGCGUUGGCAGCGGUCCAAGUUCCUUGGAACAGGACGUCACAGAGGGUGAGAAUCCCGUACGUGGUCGCUAGCCAUCGCCGUGUAAAGCCCCUUCGACGAGUCGAGUUGUUUGGGAAUGCAGCUCUAAAUGGGAGGUAAAUUUCUUCUAAAGCUAAAUACUGGCCAGAGACCGAUAGCGCACAAGUAGAGUGAUCGAAAGAUGAAAAGCACUUUGGAAAGAGAGUCAAAUAGCACGUGAAAUUGUUGAAAGGGAAGCGCUUGCAGCCAGACUUGCCUGUAGUUGCUCAUCCGGGCUUUUGCCCGGUGCACUCUUCUGCGGGCAGGCCAGCAUCAGUUUGGGCGGUUGGAUAAAGGUCUCUGUCAUGUAGCUCUCUUCGGGGAGAACUUAUAGGGGAGACGACAUACAACCAGCCUGGACUGAGGUCCGCGCAUUUGCUAGGAUGCUGGCGUAAUGGCUGUAAGCGGCCCGUCUUGAAACACGGACCAAGGAGUCUAACAUCUAUGCGAGUGUUUGGGUGUCAAGCCCGAGCGCGUAAUGAAAGUGAACGGAGGUGGGACCCCUUUAGGGUGCACCAUCGACCGAUCCUGAUGUCUUCGGAUGGAUUUGAGUAAGAGCAUGGCUGUUGGGACCCGAAAGAUGGUGAACUAUGCUUGAAUAGGGUGAAGCCAGAGGAAACUCUGGUGGAGGCUCGCAGCGGUUCUGACGUGCAAAUCGAUCGUCAAAUUUGGGCAUAGGGGCGAAAGACUAA
Molecule: ribosomal RNA, 848 nt
Filed under: Neocamarosporium salsolae
Lineage: Eukaryota; Fungi; Ascomycota; Dothideomycetes; Neocamarosporiaceae
Description: eukaryotic LSU rRNA
Rfam family: Eukaryotic large subunit ribosomal RNA
Source: RNAcentral